Molecule: long non-coding RNA, 334 nt
Filed under: Callithrix jacchus (white-tufted-ear marmoset)
Lineage: Eukaryota; Metazoa; Chordata; Mammalia; Primates; Cebidae
Description: lncRNA (ENSCJAG00000077789.1)
Source: RNAcentral
GAGUGAUUGACUUUUAGUUUCUUCCUGCGCCCGGGAAAUUCAAACAUAAACCGUUUAGUCUCCGGGAUGGAGAGAGAUGGGAGUGGGGCAUGGCACCAGAAAAUUAUUGCCCUUAGAGCUACGCCCCCUCAUGGACCCGGAAAGAGAACACAUUCCUUCAAGACCACAGGGGAAAAUACAUAGGAUGGAUGAGAACAAUGUCUGGCACAGUGUACCUUAUGGCCAAAAUAAUGGAAAGAAGAAAUGGAGAAAAAGUCGGGUAAAGAGGAAAAAAAGCAGAGUACAAAGAAUCUUCUUAGCUGUUCUUGGAAGGCACUCAAAUAUACCAGUCUAG